UUAAGCGACUAAGCGUACACGGUGGAUGCCCUGGCAGUCAGAGGCGAUGAAGGACGUGCUAAUCUGCGAUAAGCGUCGGUAAGGUGAUAUGAACCGUUAUAACCGGCGAUUUCCGAAUGGGGAAACCCAGUGUGUUUCGACACACUAUCAUUAACUGAAUCCAUAGGUUAAUGAGGCGAACCGGGGGAACUGAAACAUCUAAGUACCCCGAGGAAAAGAAAUCAACCGAGAUUCCCCCAGUAGCGGCGAGCGAACGGGGAGCAGCCCAGAGCCUGAAUCAGUGUGUGUGUUAGUGGAAGCGUCUGGAAAGGCGCGCGAUACAGGGUGACAGCCCCGUACACAAAAAUGCACAUACUGUGAGCUCGAUGAGUAGGGCGGGACACGUGGUAUCCUGUCUGAAUAUGGGGGGACCAUCCUCCAAGGCUAAAUACUCCUGACUGACCGAUAGUGAACCAGUACCGUGAGGGAAAGGCGAAAAGAACCCCGGCGAGGGGAGUGAAAAAGAACCUGAAACCGUGUACGUACAAGCAGUGGGAGCCUCUUAAUGGGGUGACUGCGUACCUUUUGUAUAAUGGGUCAGCGACUUAUAUUCUGUAGCAAGGUUAACCGAAUAGGGGAGCCGAAGGGAAACCGAGUCUUAACUGGGCGUUAAGUUGCAGGGUAUAGACCCGAAACCCGGUGAUCUAGCCAUGGGCAGGUUGAAGGUUGGGUAACACUAACUGGAGGACCGAACCGACUAAUGUUGAAAAAUUAGCGGAUGACUUGUGGCUGGGGGUGAAAGGCCAAUCAAACCGGGAGAUAGCUGGUUCUCCCCGAAAGCUAUUUAGGUAGCGCCUCGUGAAUUCAUCUCCGGGGGUAGAGCACUGUUUCGGCAAGGGGGUCAUCCCGACUUACCAACCCGAUGCAAACUGCGAAUACCGGAGAAUGUUAUCACGGGAGACACACGGCGGGUGCUAACGUCCGUCGUGAAGAGGGAAACAACCCAGACCGCCAGCUAAGGUCCCAAAGUCAUGGUUAAGUGGGAAACGAUGUGGGAAGGCCCAGACAGCCAGGAUGUUGGCUUAGAAGCAGCCAUCAUUUAAAGAAAGCGUAAUAGCUCACUGGUCGAGUCGGCCUGCGCGGAAGAUGUAACGGGGCUAAACCAUGCACCGAAGCUGCGGCAGCGACACUAUGUGUUGUUGGGUAGGGGAGCGUUCUGUAAGCCUGUGAAGGUGUACUGUGAGGUAUGCUGGAGGUAUCAGAAGUGCGAAUGCUGACAUAAGUAACGAUAAAGCGGGUGAAAAGCCCGCUCGCCGGAAGACCAAGGGUUCCUGUCCAACGUUAAUCGGGGCAGGGUGAGUCGACCCCUAAGGCGAGGCCGAAAGGCGUAGUCGAUGGGAAACAGGUUAAUAUUCCUGUACUUGGUGUUACUGCGAAGGGGGGACGGAGAAGGCUAUGUUGGCCGGGCGACGGUUGUCCCGGUUUAAGCGUGUAGGCUGGUUUUCCAGGCAAAUCCGGAAAAUCAAGGCUGAGGCGUGAUGACGAGGCACUACGGUGCUGAAGCAACAAAUGCCCUGCUUCCAGGAAAAGCCUCUAAGCAUCAGGUAACAUCAAAUCGUACCCCAAACCGACACAGGUGGUCAGGUAGAGAAUACCAAGGCGCUUGAGAGAACUCGGGUGAAGGAACUAGGCAAAAUGGUGCCGUAACUUCGGGAGAAGGCACGCUGAUAUGUAGGUGAAGUCCCUUGCGGAUGGAGCUGAAAUCAGUCGAAGAUACCAGCUGGCUGCAACUGUUUAUUAAAAACACAGCACUGUGCAAACACGAAAGUGGACGUAUACGGUGUGACGCCUGCCCGGUGCCGGAAGGUUAAUUGAUGGGGUUAGCGGUAACGCGAAGCUCUUGAUCGAAGCCCCGGUAAACGGCGGCCGUAACUAUAACGGUCCUAAGGUAGCGAAAUUCCUUGUCGGGUAAGUUCCGACCUGCACGAAUGGCGUA
RNAcentral lists this ribosomal RNA (1975 nucleotides) under human gut metagenome. RNAcentral describes it as "bacterial LSU rRNA". It matches the Rfam family "Bacterial large subunit ribosomal RNA", at positions 1 to 2003 of the family's 2925-position model. The record is from RNAcentral.